GAGAUCGUAACGCACAGAGACUGCCGGAUGCAUACGAAAGCCUACCAGCAGGGAGUGACUGUGCCAUUUUUCUCUUAACGUCUCAGGUAUUGAAGAAGCGGCAACAGCCACAGAAAGUAGCCAUCUUAUCCAGCACGUUAUGGGUAGAACUUGGCGGCUCCUGCUCCUGCCUUCCACCACCACCCUGUCCCGACUGCUUCCACUAGAGAGUUGGCAACCUUAGUGAUGAUGCCAAGC
This is a long non-coding RNA of Dermacentor silvarum, 237 nucleotides long. RefSeq lists it as uncharacterized. NCBI's taxonomy places the organism in Eukaryota, Metazoa, Arthropoda, Arachnida, Ixodida, Ixodidae. The record is from RefSeq and is a predicted model, not a curated record. The transcript is spliced from 3 exons.